AUUGAACGCUGGCGGAAUGCUUUACACAUGCAAGUCGAACGGCAGCACGGACUUCGGUCUGGUGGCGAGUGGCGAACGGGUGAGUAAUGUAUCGGAACGUGCCCAGUCGUGGGGGAUAACGUAGUGAAAAUUACGCUAAUACCGCAUACGAUCUAUGGAUGAAAGCGGGGGAUCGCAAGACCUCGCGCGGUUGGAGCGGCCGAUAUCAGAUUAGGUAGUUGGUGGGGUAAAGGCCCACCAAGCCAACGAUCUGUAGCUGGUCUGAGAGGACGACCAGCCACACUGGAACGGAGACACGGUCCAGACUCCUACGGGAGGCAGCAGUGGGGAAUUUUGGACAAUGGGCGAAAGCCUGAUCCAGCCAUUCCGCGUGCAGGAUGAAGGCCCUCGGGUUGUAAACUGCUUUUGUACAGAACGAAAAGGUUUCUACUAAUACUAGAAGCUCAUGACGGUACUGUAAGAAUAAGCACCGGCUAACUACGUGCCAGCCGCCGCCGUAA
Molecule: ribosomal RNA, 500 nt
Filed under: uncultured bacterium
Lineage: Bacteria
Description: partial 16S ribosomal RNA
Rfam family: Bacterial small subunit ribosomal RNA
Source: RNAcentral